UGGGGAAUAUUGCACAAUGGGGGAAACCCUGAUGCAGCCAUGCCGCGUGUGUGAUGAAGGCCUUCGGGUUGUAAAGCACUUUCAGCGAGGACGAAAGGUUGGCGACUAAUACUUGUCAACUGUGACCUUACUCGUACAAGACGCACCGGCUAACUCGUGC
This 160-nucleotide ribosomal RNA is filed under the name uncultured bacterium. RNAcentral's name for it is "partial 16S ribosomal RNA". It matches the Rfam family "Bacterial small subunit ribosomal RNA", at positions 355 to 508 of the family's 1533-position model. The record is from RNAcentral.